GGAAAACCACGCCGUUUGCAACCCUGAGAUUAAUUCUCAUUUCUUCAAUUCUUCGAGUCCUCGACUUUCCCAAGUUUCCUUCUCAUCUCAUACUCGUUUGUGUCUGUCGUUGAAAUGGUGAAACCCUAGCCCUCAUCUCACUAGUUUGCACCCCUCGAACGCCUCUCUGCCUCUCAUUUCACUCGAGUCCUCGAAGGCUCAGAACCCAUUUAUCUCAACUGAACUGAAAAGUGAAACCCUAGCCGCUAGCCGUCACUGCGAGCGCCGAGUCUGCGAGCAAUAUCUCUCUCUCUCAACUCUGAAACCUAUUAUUUUGGAAAUGAACCCAGAAGAUGAAGCUGAGGAAGAUGGUGCGAAUAUUGAUCUUGACUCACAAAGAAAGGGAAAAUGUGUUGUGCUGAAAACAUCUACUCGCCAGAAUUCCAACAGUCUCUCAAGGAGAUGAAAGAGAGAGUAGAAGAUCAUGUUGUUUAUGUUUCAAGAUCAUGUUGUUUGGAGUUUCAAGAUGUGAAGACUAAUAAAUUUUGAGUGAUGUAUUAUUAUUUCUUUUGUUCUUUAUAAAUUUAUGUUUUAGUUUAAUUAGUUGUGAUGUAUUAUUAUUAUUUUUUU
Juglans regia (Persian walnut) is the source of this 609-nucleotide long non-coding RNA. RefSeq lists it as uncharacterized. NCBI's taxonomy places the organism in Eukaryota, Viridiplantae, Streptophyta, Magnoliopsida, Fagales, Juglandaceae. The record is from RefSeq and is a predicted model, not a curated record. The transcript is spliced from 3 exons.